Molecule: ribosomal RNA, 668 nt
Filed under: uncultured Caulobacteraceae bacterium
Lineage: Bacteria; Pseudomonadati; Pseudomonadota; Alphaproteobacteria; Caulobacterales; Caulobacteraceae
Description: bacterial SSU rRNA
Rfam family: Bacterial small subunit ribosomal RNA
Source: RNAcentral
GUGGCGGACGGGUGAGUAACACGUGGGAACGUGCCCUUUGGUACGGAAUAACUCAGGGAAACUUGAGCUAAUACCGUAUGUGCCCUUCGGGGGAAAGAUUUAUCGCCAUUGGAGCGGCCCGCGUCUGAUUAGCUAGUUGGUGAGGUAAUGGCUCACCAAGGCUACGAUCAGUAGCUGGUCUGAGAGGAUGACCAGCCACAUUGGGACUGAGACACGGCCCAAACUCCUACGGGAGGCAGCAGUGGGGAAUCUUGCGCAAUGGGCGAAAGCCUGACGCAGCCAUGCCGCGUGGAUGAUGAAGGUCUUAGGAUUGUAAAAUCCUUUCACCGGGGACGAUAAUGACGGUACCCGGAGAAGAAGCCCCGGCUAACUUCGUGCCAGCAGCCGCGGUAAUACGAAGGGGGCUAGCGUUGCUCGGAAUUACUGGGCGUAAAGGGCGCGUAGGCGGACAUUUAAGUCGGGGGUGAAAUCCCAGGGCUCAACCCUGGAACUGCCUUCGAUACUGGAUGUCUUGAGUGCGGGAGAGGUGUGUGGAACUCCGAGUGUAGAGGUGAAAUUCGUAGAUAUUCGGAAGAACACCAGUGGCGAAGGCGACACACUGGCCCGUUACUGACGCUGAGGCGCGAAAGCGUGGGGAGCAAACAGGAUUAGAUACCCUGGUAGUCCAC